This is an RNA transcript of Tyto alba (common barn owl), 1084 nucleotides long. It is a transcript of the gene named chromosome unknown C11orf91 homolog, with no coding region annotated. Lineage: Eukaryota; Metazoa; Chordata; Aves; Strigiformes; Tytonidae. The record is from RefSeq and is a predicted model, not a curated record. The transcript is spliced from 2 exons.
GAGAAGGGGAGGCGGGAGCCGGACCGGGCUCCGCCGGCGCCGGGAGCGGGACAGCCUCCGCCCAGCAUGGCGGGCCCCGCGCCCAGCCCGGCCGACUCGAGAGGGACCCGUCUACCGGCCAACCGCCGUCGGCGGACGGCGCCGCCAUGACCGAGCAGCGCCCGCCGCGGCCGCUCUACUUCCCCCACUUCCACGACCGCGCCGAGCCCGUCCCACGCCCGGCCGACGGCGGCGGCCCUCGAACCCUCUUCGCGGCCACGGGCGGGCCGCGGCAGCCGCCGCCGGCCGCCGCCAAGGUGCCGCGCUGGGCCGAGGGGCUGGCGCACACCGCCUACGAGCCGCUGAGCUUCUUCUGCCCGGCGGCGGCUGUGGAAGAGGGCCGGGGGGCGGCGCGGCGGCCCGAGGAGCUGGAGGACGAGAUCUGCGAGCUGGGCAUCCGCCUCAAGGAGCUGGAGCUGCGGGCUCUCGUCGGCGACGGCUUCGACGCCCAGCAGUGUGCGUCCCGCCUGGGGCCGGGGGCGGGCACGGCCCGGGCCCCGCCGCCGCGCCCUCGCUCCGGGGUUGGGGCCCGGCCGCCGCUUCCUGUCUCGGCCGGCGGAGCGCGGCUCCGCGGGCUGCGGGCCCUCCCGCCCCAACGAGCGCAGCUCCGGCUCAAAGGCAGCAGGGUUCCGCCAUCAGUAACCCCCUGAAACGUGAUGCGGAGGGGCCGCCUUGGGUUCCUCUGCACCCGCAGCGCCAGCCAGGCACACAGCAGGGUUGGGGCCCUGCGCCCCGAAGUGUUCCCGGCCGCAGGUGCCUGGAGAAACACAUAGAGUGCAGGGAGUAAAGCUGGUGUCCCAUGUCAUCUUCCCCGGUGACUGGUCACAGACAACCCACCGAGGGCACAAAUUAGAAGCACAAGAACCGCGGAUGUGGUUACUUCUGCAGAAAGGAACAAAACGCCCAAAGUCAUUAAGCGUUAGCAAAAAAACCAAUUCAGACAGUGCUUCAAACGGAGGAAGCUUAUAAACUUCUGAAGGCACUGAAAGAAGAAAAGACGCAAGUCAUGAAAGCAAGGCAGAAGCUGAAGAAACAGCCACCAACA